CCUACGGGUGGCAGCAGUGAGGAAUAUUGGUCAAUGGGCGCGAGCCUGAACCAGCCAAGUCGCGUGAAGGAUGACUGCCCUACGGGUUGUAAACUUCUUUUAUAAAGGAAUAAAGUGAGGCACGUGUGCCUUUUUGUAUGUACUUUAUGAAUAAGGCUCGGCUAACUCCGUGCCAGCAGCCGCGGUAAUACGGAGGAUCCGAGCGUUAUACGGAUUUAUUGGGUUUAAAGGGAGCGUAGAUGGGUUGUUAAGUCAGUUGUGAAAGGUUGCGGCUCAACCGUCAAAUUGCAAUUGAUACUGGCAGUCUUGAGUGCAGUGGAGGUAGGCGGAAUUCGUGGUGUAGCGGUGAAAUGCUUAGAUAUCACGAAGAACUCCGAUUGCGAAGGCAGCUUACUAAACUGCCACUGACAUUGAUGCUCGAAAGUGUGGGUAUCAAACAGGAUUAGAUACCCUUGUAGUC
Molecule: ribosomal RNA, 460 nt
Filed under: uncultured bacterium
Lineage: Bacteria
Description: partial 16S ribosomal RNA
Rfam family: Bacterial small subunit ribosomal RNA
Source: RNAcentral